RNAcentral lists this ribosomal RNA (266 nucleotides) under uncultured bacterium. RNAcentral describes it as "partial 16S ribosomal RNA". It matches the Rfam family "Bacterial small subunit ribosomal RNA", at positions 793 to 1055 of the family's 1533-position model. The record is from RNAcentral.
GUCCACGCCCUAAACGAUGUCAACUGGUUGUUGGGUCUUCACUGACUCAGUAACGAAGCUAACGCGUGAAGUUGACCGCCUGGGGAGUACGGCCGCAAGGUUGAAACUCAAAGGAAUUGACGGGGGACCCGCACAAGCGGUGGAUGAUGUGGGUUUAAAUUCGAUGCAACGCGAAAACAUUACCCACCUUUGACAUGUACGGAAUCCUCCAGAGAUGGAGGGGUGCUCGAAAGAGAACCGUAACACAGGUGCUGCAUGGCUGUCGU